RNAcentral lists this ribosomal RNA (604 nucleotides) under Dujonia railenensis. RNAcentral's name for it is "eukaryotic LSU rRNA". The stretch from base 196 to 349 matches the Rfam family "5.8S ribosomal RNA". The record is from RNAcentral. Lineage: Eukaryota; Fungi; Ascomycota; Pichiomycetes; Serinales; Debaryomycetaceae.
GGCUAACGAUUCUUUUGCAGCGCUUAAUUGCGCGGCGAAAACCUUACACACUAUGUUUUUUUAAUUUGAAACUAUUGCUUUGGUCUGGCUUAGAAAUAGGUUGGGCCAAAGGUUUUAUCAAAACUUCAAUAUUUAUUAUUGAAUUGUUAUUUUUAAUUUUAUGUCAAUUUGUUGAUUAAUAUCAAAAAUCUUCAAAACUUUCAACAACGGAUCUCUUGGUUCUCGCAUCGAUGAAGAACGCAGCGAAAUGCGAUAAGUAAUAUGAAUUGCAGAUUUUCGUGAAUCAUCGAAUCUUUGAACGCACAUUGCGCCCUUUGGUAUUCCAAAGGGCAUGCCUGUUUGAGCGUCAUUUCUCUCUCAAAUCUUCGGAUUUGGUUUUGAGUGAUACUCUUAGUCAGACUAAGCGUUUGCUUGAAAUGUAUUGGCAUGAGUGGUACUAGAUAGUGCUGAACUGUUUUCAAUGUAUUAGGUUUAUCCAACUCAUUGACCAGUAAAGUAUUUGUUUAUUACACAGGCUCGGCCUUACAACAACAAACAAAGUUUGACCUCAAAUCAGGUAGGACUACCCGCUGAACUUAAGCAUAUCAAAACGGAAGGGGAAGAA